AGUGGGGGAAUAACUUCGGGAAACCGAGGCUAAUACCGCAUAAUACCCACGGGUCAAAGGAGCAAUUCGCUUGAGGAGGAGGUCGCGGCCGAUUAGUUAGUUGGCGGGGUAAUGGCCCACCAAGACAGUGAUCGGUAUCCGGCCUGAGAGGGCGCACGGACACACUGGAACUGAAACACGGUCCAGACUCCUACGGGAGGCAGCAGUGGGGAAUUUUGCGCAAUGGGGGAAACCCUGACGCAGCAACGCCGCGUGGAGGAUGAAGUCUCUUGGGACGUAAACUCCUUUCGAUCGGGACGAUUAUGACGGUACCGGAAGAAGAAGCCCCGGCUAACUUCGUG
Molecule: ribosomal RNA, 341 nt
Filed under: uncultured bacterium
Lineage: Bacteria
Description: bacterial SSU rRNA
Rfam family: Bacterial small subunit ribosomal RNA
Source: RNAcentral